GACGAACGCUGGCGGCGUGCUUAACACAUGCAAGUCGAACGGAAAGGCCCUGCUUUUGUGGGGGGCUCGAGUGGCGAACGGGUGAGUAACACGUGAGUAACCUGCCCUUGACUUUGGGAUAACUUCAGGAAACUGGGGCUAAUACCGGAUAGGAGCUCCUGCUGCAUGGUGGGGGUUGGAAAGUUUCGGCGGUUGGGGAUGGACUCGCGGCUUAUCAGCUUGUUGGUGGGGUAGUGGCUUACCAAGGCUUUGACGGGUAGCCGGCCUGAGAGGGUGACCGGCCACAUUGGGACUGAGAGACGGCCCAGACGCCUACGUGAGGCAGCAGGGGGGAAUAUUGCACAAUGGGCGGAAGCCUGAUGCAGCAACGCCGCGUGCGGGAUGACGGCCUUCGGGUUGUAAACCGCUUUCGCCUGUGACGAAGCGUGAGUGACGGUAAUGGGUAAAGAAGCACCGGCUAACUACGUG
RNAcentral lists this ribosomal RNA (468 nucleotides) under uncultured bacterium. Its description in RNAcentral is "partial 16S ribosomal RNA". It matches the Rfam family "Bacterial small subunit ribosomal RNA", at positions 28 to 507 of the family's 1533-position model. The record is from RNAcentral.